This 560-nucleotide unclassified non-coding RNA is filed under the name Hevea brasiliensis (rubber tree). Lineage: Eukaryota; Viridiplantae; Streptophyta; Magnoliopsida; Malpighiales; Euphorbiaceae. The record is from RNAcentral.
ACGUAAGCUGCAUUCCUCCACCUGAAAAGCAGGGAUGAUUUUUUAUCAGAAACUAGAUAAUGAAAGAGUUGCACUACACUACCUGAAUUUAAACCCACCCUUGGAUUGGUGGAUCCCACCAAUACUUGUAGGACCCACUGGAUGGACCCACCAAUCACAUGUUGCAUAAAUUUGGAAACACAUGAAUUGGGGAUUCUAAGAUUUUUGCUAAUGAAGCUUGAACGUAUGAAGAGCUAGCUUGAAUGAAAAUACUGGGGCAACCAUUUGUUUUACAUCAUUUUUACUCUUUUUAUUCAUUCAUUUCAGAUUUACCUCAUAGCACGACUUGAGUACCUCUUAGCUAAAACUCAUUUGCAGAUUUUGUGUUCAUUAGUUCAUGAGCACCAAAGCACUCAGCAGUUAACAAGGAAGUUAAGUGAAAAAUAUUCAACAAAUAGACCAACAAUUCUCAGUUUGGCAAUGCAACCCGCGCGUUUAUAUUUAUAUAUAUAUUGAAAUAUGUGAUUUAUAAAAUACAAAUAUAAUGCUGUGUGUCAAACCUGUGAUUUACGUGUGAUAUA